RNAcentral lists this microRNA precursor (58 nucleotides) under Branchiostoma floridae (Florida lancelet). RNAcentral's name for it is "Bfl-Mir-92-o2_pre stem-loop". Lineage: Eukaryota; Metazoa; Chordata; Leptocardii; Amphioxiformes; Branchiostomatidae. The record is from RNAcentral.
AGGUCGUGAUAGGUGGCAAUGUUGUACCCACACAAAUAUUGCACUUGUCCCGGCCUUU